GAUGGACGCUGGCGGCGUGCCUAAUACAUGCAAGUCGAGCGAACAGACGAGGAGCUUGCUCCUCUGACGUUAGCGGCGGACGGGUGAGUAACACGUGGAUAACCUACCUAUAAGACUGGGAUAACUUCGGGAAACCGGAGCUAAUACCGGAUAAUAUAUUGAACCGCAUGGUUCAAUAGUGAAAGACGGUUUUGCUGUCACUUAGAGAUGGAUCCGCGCCGCAUUAGCUAGUUGGUAAGGUAACGGCUUACCAAGGCAACGAUGCGUAGCCGACCUGAGAGGGUGAUCGGCCACACUGGAACUGAGACACGGUCCAGACUCCUACGGGAGGCAGCAGUAGGGAAUCUUCCGCAAUGGGCGAAAGCCUGACGGAGCAACGCCGCGUGAGUGAUGAAGGUCUUCGGAUCGUAAAACUCUGUUAUUAGGGAAGAACAACUGUGUAAGUAACUAUGCACGUCUUGACGGUACCUACUCAGAAAGCCACGGCUAACUACGUG
RNAcentral lists this ribosomal RNA (497 nucleotides) under uncultured bacterium. RNAcentral's name for it is "partial 16S ribosomal RNA". It matches the Rfam family "Bacterial small subunit ribosomal RNA", at positions 28 to 507 of the family's 1533-position model. The record is from RNAcentral.